Molecule: transfer RNA, 71 nt
Filed under: Myotis formosus (Hodgson's bat)
Lineage: Eukaryota; Metazoa; Chordata; Mammalia; Chiroptera; Vespertilionidae
Description: tRNA-Thr
Source: RNAcentral
GUCUAUGUAGUAUAAUGAUUACACUGGGUCUUGUAAACCAGAAAAGGGGAAAAAUAAUUCCCCCAAAGACU